AUGUCAAGGCUCUGCCUAUCCGUGGGCUCAUCAGGAUCUGGCCUAACUCCAACCAACUCUGCACAUCUGGUGGCCUUGAAUAAAGAUGAAGUUUCACCAUGUUGCCCAGGAUGGUCUCACACUCCUGAGCUCAAGGAUCCAUUUGCCUUGGCCUCCCAAAGUGCUGGGAUUAUAGGCUUGAGCCACUGUGCUGGGGAAUCUCAUGUUUUCUCUAAUUGAUCAUAUUCCCUUAUGUACCUUUGUCAUCUCUAAAUAGAACAUACUAGCCCUUCAAUUGUCUCUUACUACUGAGGUCUAUAAUAUCUUUCCCACAGUCAAACUACAUUAACCCACUUCAGUUUUAGCUCAACCAGUCAACCCCAUAAGAACUGUCACGGAGGCGUUAAAGAGGACGAUCUGGUGUUUAGGAUAGCAGAAAAACUUCACAGCUAUGGAUGGUUUUAGGACAACUUGUGAAUACAAUUGCAAGAUGGUUCAGAAUAGACACAGUUAAAUAUUAUUCAUGCCACUAUAUUUUCCUCACAAUUUUUUGAUGCUGAUUAAACAUAUGAGCCUUAUUUACCAGAAUUCCCUCAGAGUCCAUGAAACAAAUUUUCUGUUGCUGAUUAGGUGGUUUAUUUUGAAUUACUGCUGGCAAGGUUUGGAGGUAUGAUUACUCUUCUUUGAAUCUUGAGCGGAUGAAAGAUUGCCAAGUUGAGCUUUUUUUUUAAAAAAAAAAUAAAGUUUGUAUCAUGAAAAACUGUAGUGGUAUUAAAAGCUUAAUAUGCUAAGAUCUGUAAUAGCUGGAUGCCUUUUUAUUAUAAACAAUAUUAUAAAACAACCUUAGAGCUUUGUGUAUUAUUUACACAAACACAUAGUUUCAUUUAUUUUAGUAUUUAUUCUUGUGUCUUCUUCUUUUUUUUUUUUUUUUUAGCUUUGGGGGAAAAAUGUGAGACAAGAAUUUAUUGACUCAUGAGGCUGGAAGUCCAAGAGUUAAACUAGUGGCUCGAGGUGCUAAAGGUGUGUAUCCAGAGCCCUCUCUCUAUGACUCUGCACUCCAGUACAGUCUUAAUUAGAAGCUGGUAGUGGGUGGGCGCAGUGGCUCACACCUGUAAUUCCAGCACUUUGAGAUGCUGAGGUGGGUGGAUCACCUGAGGUUGGGAGUUCGAGACCAGCCUGAACAUGGAGAAACCCCGUCUCUACUAAAAAUACAAAAAUAGGCUUGGUGGCAGAUGCCUGUAAUCCCAACUACUUGGAAGACUGAAGGAGGAGAAUGGCUUGAACUCAGAAGGCAGAGAUUGGAGUGAGCCAAGAUUAUACCAUUGCAGUCCAGCCUGGGAAACAAGAGCAAAACUCUGUCUCGAAAAAAAAAAAAAAAAGAAAGAAAGAAAAAAAAAAAAAGAAGACCA
RNAcentral lists this long non-coding RNA (1388 nucleotides) under Callithrix jacchus (white-tufted-ear marmoset). RNAcentral describes it as "lncRNA (ENSCJAG00000071671.1)". Lineage: Eukaryota; Metazoa; Chordata; Mammalia; Primates; Cebidae. The record is from RNAcentral.